UUACGGGAGGCAGCAGUAGGGAAUAUUGGGCAAUGGUCGGAAGACUGACCCAGCCAUGCCGCGUGCAGGAAGACGGCCCUCUGGGUUGUAAACUGCUUUUAUCUGGGAAGAAAAAGGCCAUGCGUGGCAAAUUGCCGGUACCAGAUGAAUAAGCACCGGCUAACUCCGUGCCAGCAGCCGCGGUAAUACGGAGGGUGCAAGCGUUGUCCGGAUUUAUUGGGUUUAGAGGGUGCGUAGGCGGCUGAUUAAGUCAGCGGUGAAAGACUUCGGCUUAACCGGAGCAGUGCCGUUGAUACUGAUUGGCUUGAGUGUUGGAGGGGUACAUGGAAUUGAUGGUGUAGCGGUGAAAUGCAUAGAUACCAUCAGGAACACCGAUAGCGAAGGCAUUGUACUGGCCAACAACUGACGCUGAGGCACGAAAGUGUGGGGAUCGAACAGGAUUAGAUACCCGAGUAGUCCC
RNAcentral lists this ribosomal RNA (460 nucleotides) under uncultured bacterium. RNAcentral's name for it is "bacterial SSU rRNA". It matches the Rfam family "Bacterial small subunit ribosomal RNA", at positions 339 to 797 of the family's 1533-position model. The record is from RNAcentral.